CCCAGAGUUUUCUUAGGAGGCCUCUAAAUUCCAUUUAGUUUUCAACAAUAUUUUUGAUAUUUUUAACUCUCAGAAUGGAUUUACAAAAUAUUCAUAUAAAAAAAUUAUCAAAAAUAUAAGAACAACAUACUUUUUAAUAAUUUUGAAAUAAUUAAAUUGUAUAUUAUUGGACUUACUUUAAAAGAAAGGUCAACCAUAGUCACAAAGAAAAACGGGAUUUUUGGGCUUUCUAAUUUGUAUGGAAAGCUUACAACGUAUGUAUAAAUACUAUGUAAAAGAAAAUCAAUUAUUGAAAUAUAUUUUGACUAACUGGUGGAGGUCCACGUAUACAAAAAGCAAAAACGGAAGAUAAUAAUAUAUUCAAUUAAUGUAAAAAUGAGAAGAGCAUUGUGGGAUUAAAAAACAUGAUGGUGAUAGAUUGUCUAAAACUAAUAGGAGUACUGGUAUUUCUCAAAACAAAACUGAUGGUUACAAAGAAACAGAAGAAAAGGGAUGAUACUAAUUUACUAGACAAAAGGCUGUUCUUUUGUAAUAUGGAGAUGGGCAAAAUUCAAAGUAGUAGUAUUCAAAACAGAGAAGAACAUAAGCUAAAGAAAAAAAGGGUUGUUAGACAUUGAAAUAAAAAAAGAACAGUAAAGUUCUCAAAGAGAACUUAUUUAAUAAUUUUAAUUAGUGUUUAUAUUGUCAUGUAAAAAAUGUAAUAUAUGUUAUUUCUGAAUAAAAGACAUUUAAUAAUGAUA
Molecule: long non-coding RNA, 740 nt
Filed under: Sitophilus oryzae (rice weevil)
Lineage: Eukaryota; Metazoa; Arthropoda; Insecta; Coleoptera; Curculionidae
Description: uncharacterized LOC115877708
Source: RNAcentral